This 208-nucleotide microRNA precursor is filed under the name Oryza brachyantha (malo sina). RNAcentral describes it as "MIR812 microRNA precursor family". It matches the Rfam family "MIR812 microRNA precursor family". The record is from Rfam by way of RNAcentral. Lineage: Eukaryota; Viridiplantae; Streptophyta; Magnoliopsida; Poales; Poaceae.
AAUAAGAUCAUUUUUCAGUUUUUAGAUAUACAGUGUCUUGACUAUUCGUCUUAUUUGAAAUUUUUUAUAAUUAAUAUUUUAUUGUUACUAUAUGAAAAAACAUGAAUAGUACUUUAUGUGUGGCUAAUUUUUUUAUGUUUUUGUACAAUUUUUUGAAAUAAGACGAAUGGUCAAACUUUGGACAUAAGAAUCGAAAAAUGAUCCUAUU